Dipodomys spectabilis (banner-tailed kangaroo rat) is the source of this 101-nucleotide small nucleolar RNA. The record is from RefSeq and is a predicted model, not a curated record. NCBI's taxonomy places the organism in Eukaryota, Metazoa, Chordata, Mammalia, Rodentia, Heteromyidae.
CCCUUGUGAUGAAUUGUCAUGCUAAUACAAAGCAGUGGUUCUGGAGUUUUAAAACUAUAUUGGGUAUUCUGAUGAACUCUUUGUAGAUCUGCCUGAAGGGU